Triticum aestivum (bread wheat) is the source of this 500-nucleotide long non-coding RNA. RefSeq lists it as uncharacterized. Lineage: Eukaryota; Viridiplantae; Streptophyta; Magnoliopsida; Poales; Poaceae. The record is from RefSeq and is a predicted model, not a curated record. The transcript is spliced from 4 exons.
UCCGACUUCUUGUUCAUCAGGCUUCAACUAGGCAGGCUUGGGACUCGCGGUGGCGGGCGGCCUCACGCUGGAGCUGGUCCUGGCGGGCGGCCUCGGCCUCGUCCACACGGACUUCUCCUGGUUGUUGAACCGGUUGAGGGUCAUCCAACUUCUUGUUUAUCAGGUUACUGUUUGAUAAAAUGCAAGAUAUUUCUGUUUGGAAGGGUUUCCUGACAUCCGGACAGGUCAUACUUUUGCAAGAUACAUGCGAGGAUUGCUGUGUCCAACCUGCACAAGAAUGCCAAGAAGUUCUCGGAGACGUAAGCCACGACGUAUGUUUCUACCAUGAUUUCCUUCAGUUGGAUUUCGUGGAUUUAGGUGUUGAAAAAUUAUGGGCUGUGGAUGGCUGCUUCUUUGUGGCUUCCAAAUUUGAAAUGUUUGUUUGAGAGUUAGUUUAGUUUCUGUUAUGGAUUCACAGCUUCUCACAUGUACCAUCCUCUUAGACCUUUAGAUUUCCAAAG